AUGGCUAGUGGGGAUGAAUUCUUUUUCAACAACUUCAUUUGUGAUUCGGACGAUUCAUCGUUGGAUGGUGUAGAAUUUGUGGUUGCUACUUUGAUCGUCAAUGGGCACAUUGCUAGGCAGUGGCCGAGAUUCAGGGGAUCCAUUCCGAGCCAUGCUCUGGCGUUGAAUCAAAAUAGAGAGAGCAGACAUUGCCUAUUCUUCACCGACUACUUUCAGUGCACAUCCCCACUCUUCAGUCCUAAGCAUUUCCAGCACCGCUUCCGGAUGGCGACAUGUGUUCAACCAUAUUCAGGAGGAAUGGUGGCGCAUGAUGAUUACUUUAGAUGCAAAGAGCAGGCCCUUGGAAUGGUUGGCUUCUCUUCUUUUAUCAGAAUGCACUGCGAUGGUUCGGAUGCUUGCAUACGGAAUUCAUGGUGA
RNAcentral lists this ribosomal RNA (417 nucleotides) under Triticum aestivum (bread wheat). RNAcentral's name for it is "partial small subunit ribosomal RNA". Lineage: Eukaryota; Viridiplantae; Streptophyta; Magnoliopsida; Poales; Poaceae. The record is from RNAcentral.